Non-coding RNA from Ciona savignyi (Pacific transparent sea squirt), 73 nucleotides. The record is from Rfam. NCBI's taxonomy places the organism in Eukaryota, Metazoa, Chordata, Ascidiacea, Phlebobranchia, Cionidae.
GCCACGAUGGCGCAGUAGGCAGCGCGUGAGUCUCAUAAUCUCAAGGUCGUGAGUUCGAUCCUCACUCGGGGCA